This is an RNA transcript of Manihot esculenta (cassava), 1530 nucleotides long. It is a transcript of the gene named vacuolar protein sorting-associated protein 26C, with no coding region annotated. The transcript has 11 exons. The record is from RefSeq and is a predicted model, not a curated record. NCBI's taxonomy places the organism in Eukaryota, Viridiplantae, Streptophyta, Magnoliopsida, Malpighiales, Euphorbiaceae.
UACGCUGGAAACUAAAAAGCACAAGGAUUGGUUUCCGUUUCAUCCCCUCUCGCGACUCUCUAGACAUAUUCUCCUUGAUUCAGUAGCUUGGCGUUCUCCUAAUGUCAACGAUAGACCUCAAGCUUUCUCGAUCCAACCGAAUCUAUCGCUCCUCUGAACCUCUUCAAGGCAAAAUUGUCAUCAAGUCUCCAUCUUCACUUUCUCACUAUGGAAUUCGCCUCACCAUCAAUGGAUCUGUUAACAUGCAGAUUCGGGGAGGAUCUGCAGGAGUUAUUGAAUCCUUUUAUGGUGUUAUAAAGCCCAUAACCAUUGUGAAUAAGAGCUUCGAGAUUAGAUCUUCAGGCAAGAUUGAUUCAGGUACUUCAGAGAUACCAUUUUCUGUAAUUCUGAAACAACCUGGAGAAGAAAGCUUAGAAAGGUUUUACGAGACUUUCCAUGGAACAGACAUUAGCAUCCAGUAUUUGGUGACUGUAGAUAUAUCGAGGGGGUACCUGCAUAAAUCAUUGUCUACAACCAUGGAAUUUAUAGUUGAAAGUGAUAAAGCUGAUCUUCUUGAGCGAUCAGUUUCUUCUGAGAUGGCUAUCUUUUACAUUACCCAGGACACUCAGAGACAUCCACUGCUUCCUGAAUUAAAGUCAGGUGGUUUUCUGGUGACUGGAAGGAUAUCCACUCAAUGUUCAUUGUUGGAUCCUAUUAGUGGAGAGCUAACCGUAGAAAGAUCUGCAGUUCCCAUUUGCUCUAUUGACAUUCACUUGCUUCGAGUAGAGUCGAUUCUCCUUGGAGAGAAAAUUGUGACUGAAACCUCUUUGAUUCAAACCACACAGAUAGCUGAUGGAGAUGUCUGUCGCAGUAUGACUUUGCCCAUCUAUGUUAUCCUGCCCCGUCUUUUGACUUGUCCAACUGUCUUAGCUGGGUGAGCUUUGUAUUCUUGUUUGAUCAAGUUAUUCUGGUGAAUGCAUGAAGGUGACAAGCAAAAGGACCCUUGAUUAGAUUAAAAUCAGUACUUUGCUGAAGCGUUCAGCUACUACUCAAAUUAUAUUUACCAUUUUGUCCAUUUUCAAUUGAGUUCAAAGUGUCCAUUGUUAUCAGCUUUCAAUCAGAACUGUCCAAGUUGCAUACAAAAUCUGAUCCAAGAACUCCAAGACUCUGGCUGGCAAUGGAAACUUUACCUUUGGAACUCGUCCGUACAAAAGGAUGAGUUCCAUAUGAAGGCAACCAUUCACUGAUAUGUUCGAGCGUGAUUUUUCUAAAUUGUGCCCUUCAAGUACAAGGAUGGCAGUGCAAGUGCAGCAGUAACUGAAUUUUGUGGGUUAUUUGUGGUCAGCUUCUGCUUCCCUCUUGUGAAAUAUGUUCUGUAUGCAAAGAAUUAACUUUAGUGUAAAUAUAUAAGUCUACUUCCAGCUUGGAAUCAUGUUAUUUGCAUUGUGAAGCUGUGAUCCAGCAGGAGCCUGGUUAUGAAGAUCCAUGGAGUCUAUUCUUCUGGUUGACAUGCUCUAAUUGAUUGGCAUUUUCUGAUGUUUUUUUGUUGAA